GAUGAACGCUGGCGGCGUGCCUAAUACAUGCAAGUCGAGCGAACAGACGAGGAGCUUGCUCCUCUGACGUUAGCGGCGGACGGGUGAGUAACACGUGGAUAACCUACCUAUAAGACGGGGAUAACUUCGGGAAACCGGAUCUAAUACCGUAUAAUAUAUUGAACCGCAUGGUUGAAUAGUGAAAGACGGUUUUGCUGCCACUUAUAGAUGGAUCCGCGCCGCAUGAGCUAGUUGGUAAGGUAACGGCUUACCAAGGCAACGAUGCGUAGCCGACCUGAGAGGGUGAUCGGCCACACUGGAACUGAGACACGGUCCAGACUCCUAAGGGAGGCAGCAGUAGGGAAUCUUACGCAAUGGGCGAAAGCCUGACGGAGCAACGCCGCGUGAGUGAUGAAGGUCUUCGGAUCGUAAAACUCUGUUAUUAGGGAAGAACAAAUGUGUAAGUAACUAUGCACGUCUUGACGGUAACUAAUCAGAAAGCCACGGCUAACUACGUG
RNAcentral lists this ribosomal RNA (497 nucleotides) under uncultured bacterium. RNAcentral describes it as "partial 16S ribosomal RNA". It matches the Rfam family "Bacterial small subunit ribosomal RNA", at positions 28 to 507 of the family's 1533-position model. The record is from RNAcentral.